Molecule: RNA transcript, 5070 nt
Organism: Physella acuta
Lineage: Eukaryota; Metazoa; Mollusca; Gastropoda; Physidae
Gene name: beta-adrenergic receptor kinase 2
Source: RefSeq, a predicted model, not a curated record
CGGUUUCAGAAGUUAGAGACAGACGAAGAGAGGAUAAAAGAAGGCAGGCAAAUCUAUGAUACUUUUAUCAUGAAGGAAUUAUUAUCUCAAUCACAUACAUACCCAAAGUCAGCAGUAGAACAUGUACAAGAAGCACUCACACUAGCACAAAAGACACGCAAGCUGGAUGCGGAAAUAUUUGCGCCCUAUAUAAAUGAAAUCUGCAACUCAUUGAGGGGCCAUAUAUUUGAAAAAUUUAUAGAAAGCGAAAAGUACACCAGAUUUUGUCAAUGGAAGAAUUUAGAAUUAAAUAUUAAUUUAACAAUGAAUGACUUUAGUGUACAUAGGAUCAUCGGCAGGGGUGGUUUUGGGGAGGUGUACGGCUGCAGGAAAGCAGACACAGGCAAAAUGUAUGCAAUGAAGUGUUUAGACAAAAAGCGUAUCAAGAUGAAGGGAGGUGAAACACUUGCACUCAAUGAGAGGAUUAUGCUGUCUCUAGUCAGUACAGGGGAAGGAAGUCCGUUCAUUGUGUGCAUGACAUAUGCAUUUCAGACCCCUGAAAAGCUUUGUUUUAUUCUUGAUCUUAUGAAUGGUGGUGACCUCCAUUACCACCUGUCCCAGCAUGGUGUGUUCACAGAAAAAGAAGUCCGGUUUUAUGCUGCUGAGGUCAUCUUGGGGCUGGAACAUAUGCACAGUCGCUAUGUUGUAUACAGAGAUUUAAAGCCUGCGAACAUUUUACUGGAUGAAAAUGGACAUGUCCGUAUAUCUGACCUUGGUUUGGCUUGUGAUUUCUCAAAGAAAAAACCCCAUGCAAGUGUUGGUACACAUGGUUACAUGGCUCCUGAAGUUCUACAGAAAGGCACAGCUUAUGACUCAAGUGCUGACUGGUUUUCAUUUGGUUGUAUGCUUUACAAGUUGCUCAAAGGGCACAGCCCAUUCAGACAACACAAGACCAAAGAUAAGCAUGAGAUAGAUCGCAUGACUAUGACAAUGUCAUCAGGGUCAAUUAAAAAUGAAUUAAACUUCAAUGUAAAGAAUGUUGAUUUACCUGAAACAAUGUCCAUAGAAAUGAAAACUCUUCUUGAAGGGCUGCUUCGGCGAGAUGUAGACGACAGAGUCGGCUGUCGUGGAAGGGGAGCUCAGGAAUUGAAGGAACAUCCAUUUUUUAAAGGUAUUGAUUGGGUCCAGGUGUAUCUGCAAAAAUAUUCCCCACCAUUGAUUCCGCCCAAGGGAGAAGUAAAUGCGGCCGACGCUUUUGAUAUUGGCUCAUUUGACGAAGAAGAUACUAAAGGAAUUAAGUUGACAGAGGCAGACCAGGACUUGUAUAAAAACUUCCCACUGGUUGUGUCUGAGCGUUGGCAACACGAAGUGGCAGAAACAGUAUUUGAAGCCAUUAACACAGACACAGAUAAAGUUGAACAGAAACGCAAACAGAAACCUAAAGGAGAUGAAGUAGAUCUGGCAGGGCCUACUGACUGUAUUGUGGAAGGUGAAGUUUUAAAACUGGGUGGGCCUUUCAAUCAGUCGUGGGCUAAGAAACAUCUAAAAUUAUACCCCAACAGACUUGAAUUUUACCAUAAAGCCAGAGAUGGGACUGUACCCAAAGGCAAAGCUGUAGAAUUAUACUCAAUGCUAGACAUAAAAGAAGUUGUUCCUGAAUUUCAAAAGUACCAAAAGAUGGAGAACUGUAUCGUCCUCAAUCUUAAGACAGACAAAAUAAUCAUCACUUCACCUGACAAGGUGUUAAUCAAUCAGUGGAAGGAUGAAAUUAUUCAGGGUUUUAACCUGUCAACACAGAUUGUAGCCACAAUGAACAAAAAAGCUAGCAAACUUUAUGGCUCAGAACUUCCAGGAUCACCAAGCACAGAGAGCCUUCGGAAUCCAUUGGAGCAUCGCAACAGCAAUGGCAAUGGCAGUAGUUAGCUCCGUAUUAGAGUUGUAUUUGUAUUGCAUUGAUUAUUCAUACUUACUGGUAUUUUUCAUCCUGUUCUUUUCACAUUGUUUUUUUUUUUUUAAAAAGAAUUACUGAAAUUAUUUUUCCCCCCUAAAAUUUUAAAGUUAAACUUUGUAUUCAUUUGUUGGAUAGUUAAUUAUGUGAUAGUUUAAAAAAAUUUGUAUUCAUAGUUUGAGUUGGAUGUUAAUUAGUCGAACUUAAGGUUUUUUGUUUUUUUUUCAAAAGAAUGGAAAUAAUUUUAAAUUCUUUAUGUAAAUGUCUCAAAUAGAGUGUGAAGACAUUGUAUGAUUAGAGUAACGUACUGCUAUUUAUAUCUUCCAUUGCAAUAUUUAACUGGCUUUUUAUUGCUCCUCUUUAGCGACUAAAUUAGGGUUUAGUUAAGAUCACAGAAUUAUCAGCUUAAGCUUAUUUGAAGAGUGAAAGGAUUUUAUUAUUAAAUGGGAAGGGAUUGAAGCAGAAAAUAAUUUUAUUUCAGUUUUUAAAAAUAUCAGUUCUACUGAGGAGGAAUGUAAAUUAGUAUAUGGAAUCUGCAUACAGUCUAGUAUAAUCUCCUUUUAUAACUGUCUGAAAAGUAUCAAAGUACAGCGAAAAGAUAACAUAUUUGAUUGAUGCUUGGUUUUUUUUAGUUUCCAUAAAAUGGGGCUUUUCAAAUGAAUGUAAAAUCAGAUUUUUAACACAGCUUAUGAAAUGUUUCUACAGGAAAGUCAAGCUGUUGCAACUGCUGCUGUCGUGGUCGUUGUUGCUGCUGUUGUGUCAUAUCAUAGUAUUGUGAAGCUUGGGGGAACAUUUUUUAUAAAAUUAUAUUUGUAAUCAUAUGAAGGGAUUAUUUUUUAAAAAGGUUUGUUUCAUGUGAUCUGUCCCUACAAUACUUUUACAUUUUCAAAAAAAUUUGGAUCUUCCAAAACAAUUUAGGCUAUUUUAAGCUGUAUUGAAUUUAUUUUACUUUUCAGAAAUAAGCAAAUUUUGAAAGUUCGUACACCAUCUGAAUUCCCCCUUGCUUUAAAUGAACGCUUUAAACUUUACACAAAAAACUCAAGCAAUGGCUCUGUAAAAUAUUGGUUUUGUCUUCAUAACUUUAAGUGGAUGAAAAAUAACCAGCUGCCCCAUGAGUUACUUACCUUUACCCAAUUUUGUUUACAAUGAUCACGUUAACCUUUUUGAAUGGGAGAAUAUACCAGCAGGAGCUCUUUUAUGCUGUCUAGAUGAAGAUCCUAAGGUAUAAUUAUUUUUCAUGUUCAACACUUUCCCUCUACAUUCGCUGCAGGCAGUGAUUUUUUAACCUACCAACCUUGGCCCAAAAUUAAAUGCAAUUUUAUGGAAUAUUGAAUUCACAGAAUUUUUGCAAAAAAAGUGUAUACAUUGAAAGAAUAAGUAAAUGUGUUGCUAUAGUUAGUUAUUUGAAGUAUUGUAUUAAAACAGAAACUUAUUUUUGUGUUCAAAGUAUGCUGUUUUUUUCCUGAUAAAAAAGAAAGGAAGGAAAUGCCCAAGUCUGUUGGUACUGUAUUCUAAACAAAGCCAAAAAAUAUAACCCCAUUACCAAAAAAAAAUAUGUUAUCAACAGUAAUCUUAAUUUAGUCUCAUUCUUUAUCACUUACCUUAUUGUGAUUAUCCCAUAUUGUACAGUAUUUUAAUACUUCUCAUAUCUUAGAUGUUCUUCUGUAUGGUGGUAAGCCCUGGCUUAGAUGGCAGUAUACCCUACUACAUAGUCCUAGCUUUUCACUACAACUUGUAUUUUUACAAUAAAACAAAAAAUUGUACAAGAUUCAUUGCAUUUAACGCAUUAAGUAUUUUAAAAAUAUAUUUACCAGUGGAUGUUAUUAUAAUUACCAGUGUAAAAGACAGUAACUAAACGUUUAGUAUAUUUACUGUUUUGAACCUCAAGAGUAUUUUUUUGUAUAAAACAAUAGCAAUUUCAAACAGAUAUCACAGAGUGUAUGAAUGUUUUUUUAAAGUUUCUUCCCUUUGCUGACCAUCAUACCAGGUUUUUUUUUUUUAAAAACUAUAUAAUAACUAGCAGCUUGUCUUAUAUACAUACCCCUUGCAACAGCCCCCUUCUACACUUUCUCUGUAGUUUAAUAUUGUAUUUAGUGUUGCAAAUUACAAAUACUGCUCUCUGCAUUGUUGGGGUGCAGUGUUGUUACGACUACCACUAUUUAUUUAUAUAAAUAUAUAUAUAUACAUAUUGUAAAAAUAACAUUACUAUUCACUUUUAUUAUUUUUCAUCACUGCUUGCACAUGUAUACAAAUGACUCUUUCUGUGGGCCUUCCAUUAGGAGCAUAGUUAAAUAUAAAUAUUAGUGUUCAACUUGGACAUGUGAUUAAGCACCAUGACAUGUCGUGUAUGAGCCACUUGCCGCCCAAGUCCCAGAUAAUAAACCAUCAGAUGUGAUUAUUUUUUUUCUCUCCCUCCCCUCUCCCUCAAAAAUCACUGUCAGCCCUGGAUAUCAUAUUUCUAUAUUGUUAUGUGUGUGUUAUAUGAAUGGGCUACUGUGUUAUUUCUAUAUUUUUAUGUGUGCUUGUCAUAUGAAUGGAUUACUGUGUUAGCCUGCACAUGUAAAAAAAAAAAUGUAUGAAUUCAGCAUGGGGUUGAAGGGGGACACCUGUUCUUGUGAAACUACAACAACUGUAUAAAGUAACUCUUUCAUUGUUAUUAUCCAAUUAAAAAUCAUGUUAAAAUAACAUGCUGUCUAAGUUGUAUGCGUUUUAUUUUUCAAAUCACCUCCCCCUCACUCUGUUGAGUGUGUUAGCACUCUGAUGUUCAUUUUCACACACAUUUCUAGAUGUGAUAUCUUGCAAAGUUUAAUGUUAACUUUUUUUUUUUUUUAUUAUUCAGCAGAUUUGAAAUUUCAUCUUGUCAUACAUGAAUACAAUUGAUGUUUGAUAAUUUUAACUUUAAUUUCAAAACUAAUUUAUUUGUUUGUCUAUUAAAUGCUCACUCCUUUAACUUGUGAUUAAUAAAUGCUAGGUUAAAUUGCCACAACUUUUGUUUUGAUAGUGUCUACUGUUAUGUGUAUUUUUAAAGUCAGAAACUCUGACCCUUAGUCUUUAUAUCUUUUUUUUUAAUUUAAAAAAAAACAAACCACCUUUUUGAAAUCAUUUUAAUAAUUAUUUGAUGAGUGUUAAAUUAUCUGUUUUUU